This 194-nucleotide ribosomal RNA is filed under the name uncultured bacterium. RNAcentral describes it as "partial 16S ribosomal RNA". It matches the Rfam family "Bacterial small subunit ribosomal RNA", at positions 338 to 523 of the family's 1533-position model. The record is from RNAcentral.
CCUACGGGAGGCAGCAGUGAGGAAUUUUGCGCAAUGGGCGAAAGCCUGACGCAGCGACGCCGCGUGGAGGAUGAAGGCCUUCGGGUUGUAAACUCCUGUCAGGUGGGACGAAUCCCGGAUCGGUUAAUACCCGUUUCGGUUGACGGUACCACCAGAGGAAGCCCCGGCUAACUCCGUGCCAGCAGCCGCGGUAA